Molecule: long non-coding RNA, 211 nt
Organism: Drosophila innubila
Lineage: Eukaryota; Metazoa; Arthropoda; Insecta; Diptera; Drosophilidae
Exons: 2
Source: RefSeq, a predicted model, not a curated record
UCACUUGGAAUAUUGAACUACGAAUUGAAUUUGAGUUUAAAUGCACUUCAGACUGAUUUGUACAAAGUCUUCGUGACUGCAGUCUGAGGAGGAGAUGGGGCGUGGCAGACUAAGGACGUGGCCAUGACAGAAUCGCCAUUGUCAAGAGCUCUUGCAACAGACAAACAAACAAGCGAGCAUAUCAACAAAUAAAAAACAAUGAACGUGUAAA